UAUCUCUGUAGAGUCUGCAUAUCAAUAAGCGGAGGAAAAGAAACUAACUAGGAUUCCCUUAGUAACGGCGAGUGAAGCGGGAAGAGCUCAAAUUUGAAAUCUUCAAGGUUUUACCUUGACGAAUUGUAGUUUAAAGAAGUGUUUUCUGUUGGAGUUUUGGUAAAAGUUCUUUGGAAUAGGACAUCAUAGAGGGUGAGAAUCCCGUAUUUGACCAUUACUUUCCAGCGUUGUGAUACACUUUCAAAGAGUCGGAUUGUUUGGGAAUGCAGUCCAAAAUGGGUGGUAAAUUUCAUCUAAAGCUAAAUAUUGGCGAGAGACCGAUAGCGAACAAGUACCGUGAGGGAAAGAUGAAAAGAACUUUGAGAAGAGAGUUAAACAGUACGUGAAAUUGUCAAAAGGGAAGCGUUUGACACCAGUGUUGUUUUCUCGAAAAUCAAUUAAAAAAGUCAGGAUUUUGUAUUGUAAUUGACUUUAUCAGCUUACUGCUACUCUUUUCUUGUCUUUUUUAAUGCACUUUUCGUUUAACAAGUCAACAUCAAUUUCUUUUGUUGUAAAAGAGUCAUUGGAAGGUGGCUUUCACUUUCGGUGAAAGUGUUUAUAGCCUUUGGCCUCUGCAAUCGGAGAGAUUGAGGUCUGCAGCGUAGAUCCUUCGGGGUUAGAUACAGUUAGAUGCUAAGUUAUAGCCUUUUCAUAGACAACUUGUUGACUAUAAUCAUCAUGUAGCUUACUCGCUUAUGGCUAUUUUACCUACGCUUAGGAUGUUGAAGUCAUCGUAUCGCGC
This 781-nucleotide ribosomal RNA is filed under the name uncultured Neocallimastigales. RNAcentral's name for it is "partial large subunit ribosomal RNA". It matches the Rfam family "Eukaryotic large subunit ribosomal RNA", at positions 24 to 645 of the family's 3401-position model. Lineage: Eukaryota; Fungi; Neocallimastigomycota; Neocallimastigomycetes; Neocallimastigales. The record is from RNAcentral.